AUGACCGACGGCGGUCCGGAGGCGGCGCCGCUGGAGUUCCCCUCCGCGGAGUGGCGGCGCGUGUACGACCGGCUCCAAGGGCUGCUGCCGCGGGUGGAGGCGCUCGCCGCCGACCGCGCGCGCCUGGAGGAAGCCAUCAAGCUGUCGGACGCCCGCGAGAAGAGCCUCCAUGCCCGCCUCCUCCAGGCGGAGGCGAGCAGGGAGAGGUGGAAGGCGGCCUACACCGAGCUUCCUCCCGGUGCCAAUCCCAAGCUCGCCGAACUUCAAGAGCGCGACUUGGUGGAUUCGGAAGCUCGUGAAGCUCUUCCUGAUGUUGAUAACUCUCAACUGAAGGUGACUAGUCAAAAGCGCAGGAAGCUUACCAAUGGGGAGACUAGUCAAAAAAAGCGCAUGAAGCUUACCAAUGGGGACACUAGUAAAGAAAAGUGCACGAAGCUUACCAAUGAGAUGCAUCUUCAACGGUGCACGAUGCAGAUCUUUGUCAAGAUCAACUGUUCAAUUUUUCUCAAAAAAAGAAAGACCCACUGUUUAAAGACAAUCACUCUUGAGGUCAUGAGAUCAAAUACGAUCUACGAUGUCAAGGAAAAGAUACAAGACAAGGAGGGCAUCCCUGCAGUCCAGCAGAGACUCAUGUUUGGCAGUGAGCUGCUGGUGGACAGCUGCUGCCUGGAGGACUACAACAUCGUGGAGGAGUCCACCCUCACCCUUGACCUUGUUCCCCAAGGGAUGCAUAUCUUUAUCAGGGCACGGAGUGGCAAGAUCAUGACUAUUGGUGUUGACGGAGAAGAUAGCCUAUACAGUGUCAAGGCAAAGUUUUUCGAUGAAACCGGCAUCCCCCCAGGCAGACAGCGUCUCUUCUUUGCCGGGAAGCAGCUGGAGGAUGGCCGCACCUUGGCUGACUACGACGUGCAAAAUGAAUCUACUCUUCAUGUUGCGUUUCGCGGCAUCACGCGUCGGAGCGGUCAGAUGCGCAUCUCUGUCAGGACGGUGACGGGGAAGAAAGUCAUUGAACGUGCGAUGAAGCGCAGACAGGCCGUUGACAACAUCAAAGCGUGGAUCUACUCUGAGUUGUGCAUUCUCCCGGAGGAGCAGCAGCUCUCUGGCGAGGACGGCGCCCCCCUGGCGGAAGUGAUCCGUCGUUCGUGCAUCGUUGUUCUGCAGAUCCGUCCUCCUGGUGGUUGGUGA
Molecule: ribosomal RNA, 1185 nt
Filed under: Triticum aestivum (bread wheat)
Lineage: Eukaryota; Viridiplantae; Streptophyta; Magnoliopsida; Poales; Poaceae
Description: partial small subunit ribosomal RNA
Source: RNAcentral